Molecule: unclassified non-coding RNA, 409 nt
Filed under: Zea mays
Lineage: Eukaryota; Viridiplantae; Streptophyta; Magnoliopsida; Poales; Poaceae
Description: misc RNA Zm00001eb047850
Source: RNAcentral
CCCGCCCAAUUCCUGUCACAUUCAGCCCACAAGGCCCAGCGACGAUGAGAAACCCACCCUCGCCCACAGCACUGGCACUGGCAGCACAUUUGCCAUGAAUCAAUCAAUUCCAUGGAGGGCACGAACAAGCAUACCAGAUGAUGCGACGCUGGGCAACCUAAUUCCAAAUUUCCAUCCACAAACGUUACAGCAGCCAAAUCCACUCACCUCUAAAAAAAUACAGCAAGCAACCGGAUGGUGGUACAACACUUGCCCAGUUUUGAUUGUCUUUCCAACACCCGGCUAUUCCAUGCAACAGAUUCUCUUCUCUUCUCUUCUCUUCUUCAUUCAUCCGACUAUGGUGCGCUUCCUACCCCGUUGCCUCACUGUAAACAAAAAAGAUCGAUUGCAAAGAGUGGAUAAAAAAAAG